AUUGAACGCUGGCGGCAUGCCUUACACAUGCAAGUCGAACGGUAACAGGUCUUCGGAUGCUGACGAGUGGCGAACGGGUGAGUAAUACAUCGGAACGUGCCCGAUCGUGGGGGAUAACGCAGCGAAAGCUGUGCCAAUACCGCAUACGAUCUACGGAUGAAAGCGGGGGACUCGCAAGGGCCUCGCGCGGACGGAGCGGCCGAUGGCAGAUUAGGUAGUUGGUGGGAUAAAAGCUUACCAAGCCGACGAUCUGUAGCUGGUCUGAGAGGACGACCAGCCACACUGGGACUGAGACACGGCCCAGACUCCUACGGGAGGCAGCAGUGGGGAAUUUUGGACAAUGGGCGCAAGCCUGAUCCAGCCAUGCCGCGUGCAGGAUGAAGGCCUUCGGGUUGUAAACUGCUUUUGUACGGAACGAAAAGACUCGUCUCUAAUACAGGGGUGAAUGACGGUACCGUAAGAACUAAGACACCGGCUAACUACGUGCCAGCAGCCGG
RNAcentral lists this ribosomal RNA (497 nucleotides) under uncultured bacterium. RNAcentral describes it as "bacterial SSU rRNA". It matches the Rfam family "Bacterial small subunit ribosomal RNA", at positions 30 to 518 of the family's 1533-position model. The record is from RNAcentral.